Molecule: ribosomal RNA, 119 nt
Filed under: Salmo salar (Atlantic salmon)
Lineage: Eukaryota; Metazoa; Chordata; Actinopteri; Salmoniformes; Salmonidae
Source: RNAcentral
GCUUACGGCCAUAUCAUCCUGGGUACUCCCGAUCUCGUCUGAUCUCGGAAGCUAAGCAGGGUCGGGCCUGGUUAGUACUUGGAUGGGAGACCGCCUGGGAAUACCAGGUGCUGUAAGCA